RNAcentral lists this transfer RNA (73 nucleotides) under Felis catus (domestic cat). It matches the Rfam family "tRNA". From Rfam's summary of the family: Transfer RNA (tRNA) molecules are approximately 80 nucleotides in length. Lineage: Eukaryota; Metazoa; Chordata; Mammalia; Carnivora; Felidae. The record is from Rfam by way of RNAcentral.
ACCUGGCUGGCUCAGUUGGUAGAACAUGCAACUCUUGAUCUCAGGGUUGUGGGUUCGAGUCCCACAUUGGGUG